CGGUGGCUAAAAAAUGCCAAAAUAUUCAAUCCUCGCAGCAAAGAGGUGGACAGAGGCUGAAUGGCUGUGCCUUCCCAACAACUCUGCUCUUUUUCUUCUUUUCUCAAAUCGGAGGAAACGAGUUCAAUACCGUCUAAGAACACCCAAGGAUGCUGAGGGAUUUGGCUUUAGGAUCCUCUUCUUAGUCAAUUGAUAAAGAAAAUUCCUGCCUGUGUGUUUCUUGGUGGCAAAAGUGAUCAUGGUAGGGGAGGAUAGAAACCUGACAAGCAUGUCGUUGCUGUCAAAAAUUGACCUCUAAAUAUCUUGAUAGCAACUCCCCAUGUAAUAAUCAUCUGGCCAUAGCGGGGACACCUUUGUGUGUUUCUUGAAUGUAAGAAAGACUAUUGUUGAGAUUUGAAAGACUAGGAGGAUUCGUUUAUUCUUUCCGAUGCAAUGCCCUAAUGCUUUUGUUCUUAUUUUCCAAGUUUCUUCCUCUUUGAACUAAGAUUUGCUCAGAUCCAUUUUAUUUGAAUCUUGAGCUUCUUUCCGAAGAAGGGCCUUGCUGUCUUUGACUCUGUCAUGUUCUCAGAAUGGUGCACACUCAGAUGAACAUCGACGUCAACAAGGAUCACUAUUUUUCUCCUCAUCUUGAUCAAACUUAUGGAACAUGUUCUAGUCAUUAGACCAAUUCCAUCCAGUGCAAUAAUUUUAGAAGAGCAAGUAGAAGUCCUGCUUUUGGAGUCUCAUCCAUUGCCCAUUGGCCCCAUUCUUCUGCAGUCUGCUGACAUCCUUGAUUACUUAAUGUCUGUACACAGUAAGUUCUCAGCCAACAGGUAUGAGCCAAUAUCUCACAAUGCAAACAUCUUUAUCAAACAAACUAUAGAUAUAGUAUCAAUAACAGUGAAGGUUAAUCAGCUGCUAUGACUAUCGGCCUACAGUUUAAAUGCCAUUUUGUACCUGACAAACAAUAUCAGUUUGUGUGGAAAAAUAAGAGGCAUUUAUGGUAUCCUGACAAAAGGAUGUACAGUGAAAGCAGUAACUCCUGCAUGCUGAAUACUAGUGAAGUGGGAGGGCCGUGUUACAUGAGCAUAAUUGCAAAUACUGAAUACAGGCUAAAUGCUGUUUAUGAAGCUGCUAUAGAUGCAGAAUUGUAAUCUGAAAACUUGUUUAUGGACUUGAGUAGUGAGUGAAAGAAAUAGGGAAAAAAAUUGUCUUUAUAAACUAGUAUGAUCAGACUGUAAAUACUGAAAAAUAUAUAUAGAUAAAAUAUCAGCAUUCUCAGCAGCA
Long non-coding RNA from Zingiber officinale, 1266 nucleotides. RefSeq lists it as uncharacterized. NCBI's taxonomy places the organism in Eukaryota, Viridiplantae, Streptophyta, Magnoliopsida, Zingiberales, Zingiberaceae. The record is from RefSeq and is a predicted model, not a curated record. The transcript is spliced from 3 exons.